GACGACGCUGGCGGCGUGGAUUAGGCAUGCAAGUCGAACGGUAUCAUCCUUUCGGGGGUGAGAGAGUGGCGAACUGGUGAGUAACACGUAGGUUAUCUACCUCAAGACGGGACAACCCAGGGAAACUUGGGCUAAUACCGGAUGUGAGCAACUUUUAGUUGUUUGAAAGGUGGCGUAAGCUGUCGCUUGGGGAUGAGCCUGCGUCCUAUUAGUUAGUUGGUGAGGUAACGGCUCACCUAGGCAAUGAUAGGUAGGCGGCCUUAACGGGUGGUCGCCCACACUGGGAUUGAGAUACGGCCCAGACUCCUACGGGAGGCAGCAGUCGAGAAUAGUCUACAAUGGUCGGAAGACUGAUAGUGCGACGCCGCGUGAACGAUGAAUCCCUUCGGGGUGUAAAGUUCUUUUAUAUGUGAGCAGUGCUUCUUAUAUUAACAGUAUGGGGAGAGAGAUAUUAGCAUAUGAAUAAGCAACGGCUAACUCCGUG
This 484-nucleotide ribosomal RNA is filed under the name uncultured bacterium. RNAcentral's name for it is "bacterial SSU rRNA". It matches the Rfam family "Bacterial small subunit ribosomal RNA", at positions 33 to 507 of the family's 1533-position model. The record is from RNAcentral.